AUACGUAGGGGGCGAGCGUUGUCCGGAAUGAUUGGGCGUAGAGGGCGCGUAGGCGGCCCGGUAAGUCUGGAGUGAAAGUCCUGUUUUUAAGAUGGGAAUUGCUUUGGAUACUGUCGGGCUUGAGUGCAGGAGAGGUAAGUGGAAUUCCCAGUGUAGCGGUGAAAUGCGUAGAGAUUGGGAGGAACACCAGUGGCGAAGGCGACGUACUGGACUGUAACUGACGCUGAGGCGCGAAAGUGUGGGGAGCAAACAGGAUUAGAUACCCUGGUAGUCCACACUGUAAACGAUGAAUGCUAGGUGUAGGGGGUAUCGACCCCUUCUGUGCCGCAGUCAACACAAUAAGCAUUCCGCCUGGGGAGUACGGCCGCAAGGUUGAAACUCAAAUGAAUUGGCGGGG
Molecule: ribosomal RNA, 397 nt
Filed under: uncultured bacterium
Lineage: Bacteria
Description: partial 16S ribosomal RNA
Rfam family: Bacterial small subunit ribosomal RNA
Source: RNAcentral